Molecule: ribosomal RNA, 250 nt
Filed under: uncultured bacterium
Lineage: Bacteria
Description: partial 16S ribosomal RNA
Rfam family: Bacterial small subunit ribosomal RNA
Source: RNAcentral
UACGUAGGGGGCAAGCGUUGUCCGGAAUCAUUGGGCGUAAAGAGCGUGUAGGCGGCCAGAUAAGUCCGCUGUGAAAUCUCGAGGCUCGACUUCGAGCUGUCGGUGGAAACUGUCUGGCUAGAGUCCGGAAGAGGAGAAUGGAAUUCCUGGUGUAGCGGUGAAAUGCGCAGAUAUCAGGAAGACCAGUGGCGAAGGCGGGUCUCUGGACAGUUCCUGACGCUGAGGCACGAAGGUCAGGGGAGCAAACGGG